AUAUUUUAUAAAAGGCUAAAAUAGCCUUUUCAGACAUUUCUUUUCCAAUACAUUGUUUUACAGGAGUAUAUAUUGAGAAAACAUAGACCAGAAAACAUCAAGAAAAGCUGAUUUCUUUUUAAAACAGCAUUUUCUCUGACCGAGUGUCCUCGAAAUGUUUAAGGUCUACAAAGGAUGCACAAGGUGAUUGAAAUGAGUAGAUGGACGUGCACGAUGCUCCGAAAAGCCAGCAACAACCCAUCCAUGUUCAUUCAAUAAUGAUCCUUCCGCAGGUUCACCUACGGAAA
Molecule: unclassified non-coding RNA, 287 nt
Filed under: uncultured fungus
Lineage: Eukaryota; Fungi
Description: sequence contains ITS1
Source: RNAcentral